UGGAAAGUAACUGACUGUCUGUAG
Molecule: non-coding RNA, 24 nt
Filed under: Mus musculus (house mouse)
Lineage: Eukaryota; Metazoa; Chordata; Mammalia; Rodentia; Muridae
Source: RNAcentral